RNAcentral lists this transfer RNA (73 nucleotides) under Mus musculus (house mouse). It matches the Rfam family "tRNA". Rfam says of the family: Transfer RNA (tRNA) molecules are approximately 80 nucleotides in length. Their secondary structure includes four short double-helical elements and three loops (D, anti-codon, and T loops). Further hydrogen bonds mediate the characteristic L-shaped molecular structure. tRNAs have two regions of fundamental functional importance: the anti-codon, which is responsible for specific mRNA codon recognition, and the 3' end, to which the tRNAs corresponding amino acid is attached (by aminoacyl-tRNA synthetases). tRNAs cope with the degeneracy of the genetic code in two manners: having more than one tRNA (with a specific anti-codon) for a particular amino acid; and 'wobble' base-pairing, i.e. permitting non-standard base-pairing at the 3rd anti-codon position. Lineage: Eukaryota; Metazoa; Chordata; Mammalia; Rodentia; Muridae. The record is from Rfam by way of RNAcentral.
GGAGAGGUGGCUCAGUGGUUAAGAGCACUGACUGCUCUUCCAGAGGUCCUGAGUUCAAUUCCCAGCAACCCUA